Long non-coding RNA from Rhinopithecus roxellana (golden snub-nosed monkey), 480 nucleotides. RefSeq lists it as uncharacterized. Lineage: Eukaryota; Metazoa; Chordata; Mammalia; Primates; Cercopithecidae. The transcript is spliced from 3 exons. The record is from RefSeq and is a predicted model, not a curated record.
CCUGGGGGCGGCCUGUGAUAACUAGCGUAUCUGGCAGGAGUAGCAGCUGCCCCUUGGCGCGGCUGCUGGAGCCGCGAACUAGAGAAACACAGACACGCCUCUUAGAGCAACGGCGUCUUUCGGAGAGCAGAGCCAGCCAAGGUUUCUGAUAACUUUGGAGAUUGUGACAUCAGAAUAGAUGAAAAACUUCCAGGACUCAUGGAGAGAUGAAAUAUUCAUGAAUAUCAAGCAGAACAAGAAUUAACUGCAUGGACUAAACUAAUAGAAGUCUGAAGGAAUCUGUCUAACUUUUUGCUUAAAAUGGUGCUGAUCCUUUUGUUUUUCAAAGCCAAGAAAACGUUUAAGCUAUUUACAGCUUUUAACAAUUGAGACACAAUUGGAGAAACUAGUUAUUUUACCAAGGCUCUUUACUGGGAUGGUGUGCUUUGCUUUAAGGAAUCAAACUUGACUUAUGGAAUCAAUACAAGCCCCUUGGGAAAU